CUGGAGGCUCUUCCCAGCCUUUAUGUACCAGGGGCUAAGAAACAGGCAGGUCAGAAUCUUACCGGUAGCUGAAGCUAGAAAAUGUAAAGCACUAAAGCUAUCAGAGGACCCACUUCUUUUUUUUUGUAAUAUAGUGAUGAACUUGAACUCCUGGCCUCAAGCAAUCCUUCCACCUUGGUCUCCCAAAGAGCUAUAAGCUAUAAGCUAUAAGCCACUGUACCCAGCAAAGGCCCCAUUUCAACAUGCAGAGCAAGUCAGUGUGCAAUGAAGGGAGAGAUACUUUACUUAUGGUAACACUGGUAAUGUCCUGAUUGCUGUUAAGUUCCCAAUUUCAGUAAUGCCUGAAGCCCUACUAUAUCCUUGUUCUUUGUGGCCAGAUUCUUUAACUUUCCCUUGGAUUGAAGUAGACUCCCCCAAAUCCUUCUUCUUGUUAAAGUAGCUUGAAUUGGAGUCACAGGAACAAUUGUCCAGAAGCCUGUAACAAUUAAUUCCCACUGGAGCAGGAGAUGAGGAUACCCUGCUGGCAAUGAGCAUUUUAUUUCUCUCGCUUUAAUAAUUUGUAAUGGUUUUAAUUUACAUUUAUUUAACUACCAGUGAGGUUAGAUUUUUUUCAUAUGCUUAUUAGCCAUUGGUAUUUCUCUUUUAUAUAUUGAUAUAGUUUGGAUAUUUGAUCCCACACAAAACUCAUGUUGAAUUGUAAUCCCUGGUGCUGGAGGUGGGGCCUCGUGGGAGGUGUUUGGGUCAUGGGGGCGGAUCCUUCAAUGACUUGGUCCUGUCUUUGUGAGAGUAAGUUCUUGUGAGACUGGGUCAUUUAAAAGUGUGUGUGGCACCUCCCCCAUCACUCUCUCUCUUGCUCCUGCUCUUCCAUGUGAGACACCUGCUCCCACUUUGCCUUCUGCCACGAUUGGAAGUUUCAUGAGGCCUCCCCAGAAGCUGAGAAGAUGCUGGUAUGCUUCCUGUACAGCCUGUAGAACAGUGAACCAAUUAAAUUUAUUUUCUUUAGAAAUUAUCCAGUCUCAGGCAUUUUUUAAUAGCAAUGCAAGAAUGGCCAAAUACAUGUAUGUUGGUGUACAUUCUGAGGCCUCAAGCAAAGCAUGAGAAGGAGUCACCAUUUCUCCUAGAACCAUCCUUCUGAGGACUCUCAGGACAAAUUGAGCAUGCAGUUGUGAACUCAGAUGCUGGAGAAGUUUCUCCAACUGAAGUUGGCUUAAGUUUGCUCUGGGUUGUGCUGCAGUGAGCUUUGGAGACAAGGUGUUUGAUGCUGCAAUUCAGUGAAUUAGCUUCCUCUGGGCCUUGAGAAUACCUGAUCCCACCCCCAUCUUCUGUCCUUGCUUCUCUUGAUUGAUACCAGUUGAAGAUUUGAACUUUGAUCUUGUUUGCCUGUCUCCUUUGUGAUGCAUAAUGACUUACAUAUGUUUAAGUAGAAUAUUUAUGAUAAAACCACCUGGUUUCUCUAAAGAAUACUAGGAGGAAUGACUCAUUUUUCCCCCUGAUUAGAGUGCAGAACAUUGCCUUUUUGGUUUUAGUUUUGUCUAGCAGUACUUCUGCUAUUGUGACAAAUGUUAUGGAGCACUGUGUACCAAAAUAGAUGUCGUAUCCAUCUCAAAUCACCGACACUAACAAUAGAAAGGAAAAGUAAUUAAAAAUAAAACCUCUCAAAAGAACACAUCCUCCAAGGAAAGGAAAAUGAGACGUAGCAUGUUAAUUCCACAAGCAGACGCAUCUAAAGCCUCUCUCGGGAUAGUGGAAAACACAGCAAACAUCUGGGAGAUUUCAACUGUGAAAGAAAAUUAUAAUCAUUGGUUACAAAGACUUUUCGUGCCCCUUGCUUGUAAACAGUCGAAUAAGUCCAUGGAAAAGUAUAUACAUAGGAGGAAUCAUGAAAUCUCAAACUAAAUAUCCCUAGUCAGGAUAAAAGAGUAAAUUUCGGGCAGAAAUUCAGGAAACUACUGGAAAAAAAAUCUGUUUCCAAAUCUGAACUUUAGAAUACAACUCAUAAAUCAGCCCCCAAUUACCUCACUGGCCUUGUGGCCUGCAAUCCUCCCACACUGGCCCCUCCUGGCUGCUUGAAUAUAUUAGGGCUUCUCACUCGCUGGUGCUACUGCCUAGUAUGCUCUGUGUAAGUGUGGCUUUCUCCCUCACUUCCUUCAGAUGUCAGCUAACAUAUCACUUCCUAGCUUUAGUCCUGAAGGGGUUUUCCUCAUUACACUUAUUAUUUCCUGACUAAUUACACAUGCGUGUAUGCUUGGUUGUUGCUUAUCUUCCCUUUCUAGAAUGUUAGCUCCUUGAGGGAAAGGACUUUGUUUUGUUCAGUGUUAACAUUCUGGAACUUGAGAUGGUGCUUGGCUCAUGGAAAAUACACACUGGUAUUUGUUGAAUGAAUAAAUGAAAAGUAUAAAAGAAUGGGAAAAACAGAAUGUGUGGUGAUGUGACGUCCCACCCAGAUCCCUCUGUAAGGAAGGAGGACUUGUUGCCCCACAGCCUUCAGCUGUCAGCCCUUUCAGAUCACCUCAGCUGCAGAGGUGAGCUGCCAAGGUUACAUCAUUUUGUGGGUGGGCCACACACAAUGACUGAUUGAGGCAAAGGUGUGAAGAAAAGGCCAUGUGGUUUUAACACAGGAAAAAUAUGAAGUUGAGCCACAUUAACUCCGAGAUGGCCAAGGCUGCUGGUCUGAAUCAUAGGUGGGUUCCUCCCUUGAUCGACCCCACAUUUCACCUCUCCUUCCACAGGUAUUGAUCCAAGUGACACUCCCUAGUAAACAUCUCAAAACCGAAGUUCGCUUUCUAGAAAACCCAAAAUGCAACAAGAUGAAAAAACAAGAAGUAUCUCUUCUUUACAAUUUACUGUCCUAUUUCAUAACACUAUGUCUUCAUCCAAAAAUAAAUUCCUUCAUUUGGCAGAUAUCUGUGGAGAAACUAUUAUGUUUCCGGCACUGUUCUGGGCACUGAUGUGAUGGAAAUUAAAACACCAACAAGUCUCAUGAGCUCUGUGAACUUUAUAUCCUAGUAGGGUAAAAAUAAUAAGGAAGCAAAUAAAAGAAAAUUUGUGAAAGUGUUAAGAGAUGUGAGGAAAAUAGGUAGUGAGCUGAGAAGGGUGGGAGUGAUCAACUGUUUUUAACUAGGUGUCACGAGAAGGGGCUUCUGAGGCAAAGACUUCAAAGUUGAGGUUAAACUCAGGGAUCCAGGCAUGCCUGUCUUGGGGAGGUGUGGUCCACAUUGGUUUAUCACCUGCCAACUACACGCAGGCACUGGAGGGGAUACUAGGGUUGCAAAAAUCAGCACAAAAUAGUCUGUUGCUCUAAGAAGGCUAUUUUCUAAUUCAUACUCAUAAAUAAUUGGAACAUCUUAACGUAAGGGAAUCUGGGUAUUUUAUUGCCCUCUUGGUUUGAGUAGUUAAAAAAUAUUAACUGACAACACCUUUAUUGAACAGUUAAUACCUGUCAAGCCUUCUUCUAAAUAAUUUUCACAUUCUAACAGAAACAGAAAAUAAGACAGGUAUUAUUAUUACUAUAUUAAUAUUUAACAGUUAAUAAAAUCAAUGCAGAGUAGGUAAUUUCCCAGAAACAUAGUUAGCAAUCAGGAGAAGCAGAAACUAAAACCCAAUAGUCUGAUGUCAGAUCUAGCAGUCUUAAUCCUUUGUAUUAUGUUGAAAUGUCUCCUUGCCAUGCUAUUAGAUGUUAUUUCUCCUAUUGAGUUUAGAAGGGUUAUAUGUUUUUUAAAAAUAGGUGAUCUCUUCAUUUUGCAACAAUAAUUAUUUCUAUAUUCCAAUAUUCAACUAUUUUGCAAUAUGGAAAGUAAUAUAUUUUUCAUUAAAAUGACUUAUAAUAUGAUGGUGUCAUUGUUUCUAUUAGUAAUCUCAGAAAACUUGAAAGCACCAUUAUCAGUUAUU
RNAcentral lists this long non-coding RNA (3888 nucleotides) under Homo sapiens (human). RNAcentral's name for it is "HSALNT0112558". The record is from RNAcentral. Lineage: Eukaryota; Metazoa; Chordata; Mammalia; Primates; Hominidae.